RNAcentral lists this unclassified non-coding RNA (4352 nucleotides) under Haliotis rufescens (red abalone). Its description in RNAcentral is "rYamide receptor-like, transcript variant X1". The record is from RNAcentral. Lineage: Eukaryota; Metazoa; Mollusca; Gastropoda; Lepetellida; Haliotidae.
ACCAGUGAACGCUAAGUCUCAUGCCGACAAGUAGCACAACGGCCUCCGUCACUGAUAUGUAACCGCUGGUUCCGUAUUCCGCUUCAUUUGCAUUCCACAUUUUUGUAGGUAAAAGAGCAGAGGCAAGGCUUAUCGUAAAGAGUUUCCAACUUUAACAAUGUGAGGAUUUCAGGUUCGAAAAUGGAGGAAAACUUAGGAAAUGGAUCUUUGAGAAUGAAUGGUAAUGUUUCUAACGAAGUUGUUGCUGGAUUGGAAACCGGUGCUCGAGCCACCCUUAUCUGUCUGUACAGUGUGGUGUGUGUUACCGCCGUCGUUGGAAACACAGCUGUGUGUUACCUCGUUUUUGUUCUACGACGUAUGAGGACUGUUACCAAUUUCUUUAUAGCAAGCCUGGCUGUCAGUGACAUGCUCAUGGCACUAGUUUGCAUCCCAUUCACGUUUGUGGCAAAUGUUCUUUUGGACCAUUGGCCUUUCGGAUAUGCCUUUUGUCCGCUUGUGACGUAUCUUCAAGCUGUGGUAGUAUUUCAAAACGCUUAUACUCUUUUAUCCAUGAGCAUGGAGCGGUAUAUUGCAAUAAUGUACCCCUUCAGACCGCGGCUUGGAAAGCGGAAGUGCUUGUACGUUAUCGUAGUGUGCUGGGUGCUGGCAUUUCUGACGCCGUUGCCCACGGCUGUGACAUCCCAUGUUGUGGCCAGUACCAGUAAUGACUCCAACCAGACUCUGUACCUAUGUAGGGAGGAAUGGUCCGACACUCAGAGAUUCUCCUACACACUCACCAUCAUGGUACUGCAAUACUUUGUCCCACUUCUUGUUCUUCUCUACACGUAUAUCAGGAUCGUCCACGUGGUAUGGCUCAAGGACAUCCCGGCUCUCGAGUCAAGGGAAGGGCUGCAGGACCCUAGAAAGAAGGCAAUCUUGAUGAUGAUUACUGUCGUGGGCAUCUACGGCAUCUGCUGGCUGCCUCUGCACGUCAUCACCAUCGUUGGCGACGUCAACCCUACCAUCUACGACUACAGCUACAUGAGAACCAUCUGGAUUGGCGCUCACUGGCUGGCCAUGAGCAGCUGUGCAUAUAACCCCUUCAUCUACUGGUGGAUGAACUCAAAGUUCAGGGAGGGUUAUGUGAACAUCUUGAGAUCCUUCAGGGCCUGUCUGUCAGGAAGGGAUAGGACCUUCUACAUCAACAAGACAAGAGGCUACUCCAGCACUGAUGACCACCGGGGCAAGCAGAACGGAGAUAUCGGAAUGCGGGAUAUUGGACGCAGGCGAGAUGUCAAUUCGCACACGGAAUCCGAGGAGCACAAACAUUCGCAAAUUGUGGAUCCUAAUCUCGAACUUGAACCUGAUAAAGUGCCGCUGAAUGUGUAGAGCUGCGUCACAGAAAGAUGACGUAUAUAGGUUGGCCUUACAAAGUGCCACUGAGUGUGUAGAGGUACGUCACAAAGUGAUGACGUAUAUUUGCUAGUCUUACAUAGUACCGCUCAGUGUGUAGAACUACGUCACAAAUUGAUGACGUAUAUCGGUUGGCCUUACAAAGUGCCGCCCAUUGUGUGAGGUACGUGACAAGCUUGUGACGUAUAUUGGCUGAUCUUACGAAGUAUCGCUCAUUGUGUAGAGCUACGUUACAAACUACAAACGAAUAUGGAUUGGUCUUACAAAGUACCGCUCAGUGUGUAGAGAUACGUCACGAAGUGAUAACGUAUAAGGGUUUGUCUUACAAAGUGCCGCCAAUUGUUGUGAGGUACGUCAUAAUUAUAAACUGAUGACGUAUAUGGGUUGGUCUUACAAAGUAACGCUCAGUAUGUAGAGCCACGUCACAAACGAUGACGUAUAUUUGUUGGUGUUACAAAGUGACGUUUAAAGUAGUGCGCUACAUCAUAAACGGAUGACGUAUAUUGGUUGGUGUUACAAAGUGACGCUCAAUGCGUAGAGCUCUGUCCCACAUAUGACGUUUUCGGCUUGAUGUACUAGUAAUUGCUUUUCAGUGUAAAGUGAUGACGUUAAGUUGCUCAGUGUACAGUGUCAAUCGAACUCUGAUGACGUAUACGAUCGACGUCCCGAUCCUUGUAAACAUGGACGUCAAACAUUUGCUGGACCACAGUGCUCUAUCACAGUGGUACGUCACAAAAUGAUGGCGUAUAUGAUUGCUGUCAGACAGUACCGCUCAUUUAAGGAUGUGCAUCCCAAACAUAUAAAGCAUAAAGUUUGGGGUUGUAAAAAUGCCAAUACGUCCCAUAAUGAUACUAGUUAGCGAGACCCACAAGAGCCGCCUAAUGUGAAGAGGUACGCCUCAAACUAAUGACGUAACACGCUUUGGUUCUGACAAAUACCGCUUCGUUGAGAUGUACCUCUAUCUGAGAAUGUGUGAACAAUUUCGACUCACAUGUUGAAACAAAAGAGAAUCAGAUAGUCCGAUUGAGCACAUGAAAUAUAUCACGACCCCAUUAUACCUCUAACUCAUUGAUGAGAAAUAACUUUAAGGGCAAACGGUUUUGCAUGACGUUGUAACAAGCGUUUUAACUGAACACCAGACUGUAUUGUUUUGUUUGCUUGUUGCUUAACGCACUCAGAAAUAUUCCAGGUAUAUGACGGCAGCUCGGCCAUAAUAGAGUCUGGAUCAGAAAAAACAGUGAUUGAUGAGCACCGUCCCACGCCUUCCAGGCACGAUGACAGGAGCGCCACCACUCGAGCCGACCACGGAGAUUCGUGUCCCGUGAUCCGAGACUGAUCACCAGAUUCAAAUUGCAGCCUCUGGUAUGACAAGCAUAGGAUAUAUAAUUCUAACCAAGAAUCUCCACGGACUGUAACAAAUGCGCCAUUUUGUUGAUAGAAUGGUGAAGUGGUGAAAGGAGUGACGGGCAAAUAAGAUCACAUUAUAGAAGUAUAAGUAAGAAAAUCUUGAUUGAAUAUCCAGUUAUCCCCGUCCACACGCAAUCACGUCUAGGCACGUUUUAAGCACAUUUAUCAGGAAGCAAAGGAACCUCGAUAAAAAGAGCAACCAAUAGCGACCAAACUCUCUGAAGUAGUUAAGUGUAUAAUAAGACAAUAAUCACAUUGUCAUUCAGAUACUUUUUCCAAGGAUGACAUCUUAGAUUAUCCUUGCUCUUGAUCAUGGAAUUGUCCACCUAUCCUUUAAGGAGCAAACAUGACUUUGGGUGAUUCCAUUGGGUUUUUAAUCGAUAUCUGAACCGGAUGAAUACUGCUAUUAGAAAUCAGGUUUCUGAACCGUUAUGCUGUGAAGUCAUUCAAUCCUGAUUCAAUGCCGACAUUGACGUCAAGAGAAGUGGGCAUUUUCGAUACGGAUGGAAACCUAAUAAUUAAUUCAUUUUGCCCCUGCUUUGAUCGAGAUGGACCUAAGCUGUGCCAUGUCUGGCACGUUUCUUGGGGACUUCAUCAUUAAACACGAACCAUUGCCACUGAUAACUUGUAUGUCUGAAGCAAUAAUUGACGGUGCAUUUGACCUAUCACCUGUAUCGCUAUCGUUUGUCAAGGGCCCCGUAUUACAUGACAAUCUUACUUGGAAACACCCUCUGUGUUUAAUGGCUUUAUCUUCUAUUGCUUGCUGAGCAUUCGUUCUAGAAAUGAAACGCCAGAAAUCUAUGAUUGUGGGUUCGAAUCCCGGUUCGCCCCGAUUCUGUGCUAGGUUUUGCAGUACCAUACCCGUGCUCGUGGGUUUCACCGAAGUUGUAAACAUCUGAGCCCUGCAUCACUUCGGACUUUCCUACAACAUUAAGCUGACAUGCCGUGAUAUAACUGGAAUACAGUUAAAAGCGGCGUUAAACCCAACUCACUCACUCACCUCCAAGAUUCAUGAGUAUAGGUGCCCGUGUGGAUUCUGGGCUGGAAAGGUCCCCAGCAAUCAAUGCUGGUCGCAAGAAGAGACUGAUGGAUCGGAUGGUCAGGCUAACUGUCUUGGUUGGUUGCGUCGUACCCCGGCGGCUUGCAUCGUUGCUGAUAUCAAUCACGUGAUUGUCUGGUCUGGUUAUUUUCAUGCCGCUUUCAUAUAGCUGGAAUAUUGCUGAGGGCAGCGUUAAAAACAAAACAAAAGAACUCAUCUUUAUUUAGACUGUUUGUGCUUUCGUAUUUAUAACAGAGAAAGGAAGGUGAAUACCUUCUGAAAACCUCAAAAUGAUGAGUCAAAUGUAUAUAUCAGUGAUAAAUGGAAGACCCUAGCCGGGCUUGUAAUAGACGAUUCACUGCACUACCUUUAUCAAUAUGCUAUUGUGUUCGUGAGUUGUUGAAAACUGUUAUAUUUUUUAUUGUGUUACCAAAUAAAAGAUAUCGAAUGCAUAAAUAUGUUAAAUGUUUGAUGAAUCCUUUUUUCAUUCUGUUCAAUAAAUAUUGAAUUCUUA